Molecule: transfer RNA, 75 nt
Filed under: Crassvirales sp.
Lineage: Duplodnaviria; Heunggongvirae; Uroviricota; Caudoviricetes; Crassvirales
Description: tRNA-Phe
Rfam family: tRNA
About the family: Transfer RNA (tRNA) molecules are approximately 80 nucleotides in length. Their secondary structure includes four short double-helical elements and three loops (D, anti-codon, and T loops).
Source: RNAcentral
GGAGAUUUGGUGUAGGUGGUUAUUGCACGGCAGUCUGAAAAACUGUAGGCUUUGAUUCGAUUUCAAAAAUCUCCG